This 119-nucleotide ribosomal RNA is filed under the name Lupinus angustifolius (narrow-leaved blue lupine). The record is from RNAcentral. Lineage: Eukaryota; Viridiplantae; Streptophyta; Magnoliopsida; Fabales; Fabaceae.
AGGGGCGACCAUACCAACACUAAUGCACCGGAUCCCAUUAGAACUCCGCAAAUAAGCAUCUUUGGGCGAAAGUAGUACUAGGAUGGGUGACGUCCUGGGAAGUCCUCGUGUUGCACCUC